CCUACGGGGAGCUGCAGUGAGGAAUAUUGGUCAAUGGGCGGGAGCCUGAACCAGCCAAGUCGCGUGAGGGAAGACGGUCCUAUGGAUUGUAAACCUCUUUAGGCGGGGAGCAAUGCCGGGCACGCGUGCCCGGCGGGAGAGUACCCGCAGAAUAAGCAUCGGCUAACUCCGUGCCAGCAGCCGCGGUAAUACGGAGGAUGCGAGCGUUAUCCGGAUUUAUUGGGUUUAAAGGGUGCGUAGGCGGAUUUUUAAGUCAGCGGUAAAAUGUCCGGGCUCAACCCGGGCCGGCCGUUGAAACUGGCUGUCUUGAGAUGGCGAGAGGUAUGCGGAAUGCGCAGUGUAGCGGUGAAAUGCUUAGAUAUUGCGCAGAACUCCGAUUGCGAAGGCAGCAUACCGGCGGCGAUCUGACGCUGAGGCACGAAAGCGUGGGUAUCGAACAGGAUUAGAUACCCCAGUAGUC
This 460-nucleotide ribosomal RNA is filed under the name uncultured bacterium. RNAcentral's name for it is "partial 16S ribosomal RNA". It matches the Rfam family "Bacterial small subunit ribosomal RNA", at positions 338 to 795 of the family's 1533-position model. The record is from RNAcentral.